CGGCAGGCUUAUACAUGCAGUCGAGGGGCAGCACUGGUAGCAAUACCUGGUGGCGACCGGCAAACGGGUGAGGAACAUGUACGCAACCUUCCUUUAACUGGAGGAUAGCCCAUCGAAAGAUGGAUUAAUACUCCGUAACAUAAUGAUAAGGCAUCUUAUUAUUAUUAUAGCUCCGGCGGUUAAAGAUGGGCGUGCAUCUGAUUAGAUAGUUGGUGAGGUAAUGGCUCACCAAGUCAGCGAUCAGUAACUGGUGUGAGAGCACGACCAGUCACACGGGCACUGAGACACGGGCCCGACUCCUACGGGAGGCAGCAGUAAGGAAUAUUGGUCAAUGGACGCAAGUCUGAACCAGCCAUGCCGCGUGGAGGAUUAAGGCCCUUGGGUUGUAAACUCCUUUUAUCUGGGAAGAAAUGCAUUUUUUCUAAAGUGCUUGACGGUACCCAGAGGAAUAAGCACCGGCUAACUCCGUGCCAGCCAGUC
Molecule: ribosomal RNA, 480 nt
Filed under: uncultured Sphingobacteriales bacterium
Lineage: Bacteria; Pseudomonadati; Bacteroidota; Sphingobacteriia; Sphingobacteriales
Description: bacterial SSU rRNA
Rfam family: Bacterial small subunit ribosomal RNA
Source: RNAcentral